Molecule: ribosomal RNA, 468 nt
Filed under: uncultured bacterium
Lineage: Bacteria
Description: partial 16S ribosomal RNA
Rfam family: Bacterial small subunit ribosomal RNA
Source: RNAcentral
GACGAACGCUGGCGGCGUGCUUAACACAUGCCAGUCGAACGGAAAGGCCCUGCUUUUGUGGGGUGCUCGAUUGGCGAACGGGUGAGUAACACGUGAGUAACCUGCCCUUGACUUUGGGAUAACUUCAGGAAACUGGGGCUAAUACCGGAUAGGAGCUCCUGCUGCAUGGUGGGGGUUGGAAAGUUUCGGCGGUUGGGGAUGGACUCGCGGCUGAUCAGCUUGUUGGUGGGGUAGUGGCUGACCAAGGCUUUGACGGGUAGCCGGCCUGGGAGGGUGACCGGCCACAUUGGGACUGAGAUACGGCCCAGACUCCUACGGGAGGCAGCAGUGGGGAAUAUUGCACAAUGGGCGGAAGCCUGAUGCAGCAACGCCGCGUGCGGGAUGACGGCCUUCGGGUUGUAAACCGCUUUCGCCUGUGACGAAGCGUGAGUGACGGUAAUGGGUAAAGAAGCACCGGCUAACUACGUG